GGUUCGAUUAUGGCUCAGAUUGAACGCUGGCGGGAUGCUUUACACAUGCAAGUCGAACGGCAGCACGGACUUCGGUCUGGUGGCGAGUGGCGAACGGGUGAGUAAUGUAUCGGAACGUGCCUAGUAGCGGGGGAUAACUACGCGAAAGCGUAGCUAAUACCGCACACAGCCCUUCGGGGGAAAGCGGGGACCUUCGGGCCUCGCACUAUUAGAGCGGCCGAUAUCGGAUUAGCUAGUUGGUGGGCAACGCCCACCAAGGCGACGAUCCGUAGCUGGUUUGAGAGGACGACCAGCCACACUGGGACUGAGACACGGCCCAGACUCCUACGGGAGGCAGCAGUGGGGAAUUUUGGACAAUGGGGGGAAACCCUGAUCCAGCCAUCCCGCGUGUGCGAUGAAGGCCUUCGGGUUGUAAAGCACUUUUGGCAGGAAAGAAACGGCACGGGAUAAUACCCCGUGCAACUGACGGUACCUGCAGAAUAGCACUGGCUAACUACGUGCCAGCAGCCGCGGUAAUACGUAGGGUGCAAGCGUUAAUCGGAAUUACUGGGCGUAAAAGCGUGCGCAGGCGGUUCGGAAAGAAAGAUGUGAAAUCCCAGAGCUUAACUUUGGAACUGCAUUUUUAACUACCGAGCUAGAGUGUGUCAGAGGGAGGUGGAAUUCGCGUAGCAGUGAAAUGCGUAGAUAUGCGGAGGAACACCGAUGGCGAAGGCAGCCUCCUGAUAACACUGACGCUCAUGCACGAAAGCGUGGGGAGCAACAGGAUUAGAUACCCUGGGUAGUCCACGCCCUAAACGAUGUCAACUAGCUGUUGGGGCCUUCGCUGGUAGCGCAGCUAACGCGUGAAGUUGACCGCCUGGGGAGUACGGUCGCAAGAUUAAAACUCAAAGGGAAUUGACGGGGACCCGCACAAGCGUGGAUGAUGUGGAUUAAUUCGAUGCAACGCGAAAAACCCUACCUACCCUUGACAUGUCUGGAAUCCCGAAGAGAUUUGGGAGUGCUCGCAAGAGAACCGGAACACAGGUGCUGCAUGGCUACCGCCAGCUCGUGUCGUGAGAUGUUGGGUUAAGUCCUGCAACGAGCGCAACCCUUGUCAUUAGUUGCUACGAAAGGCACUCUAAUGAGACUGCCGUGACAAACCGGAGGAAGGUGGGGAUGACGUCCUCAUGGCCCUUAUGGGGUAACACACGUCAUACAAUGGUCGGGACAGAGGGUCGCCAACCCGCGAGGGGAGCCAAUCCCAGAAACCCGAUCGUAGUCCGGAUCGCAGUCUGCAACUCGACUGCGUGAAGUCGGAAUCGCUAGUAAUCGCGGAUCAGCAUGUCGCGGUGAAGCGUUCCCGGGUCUUGUACACACCGCCUGUCACACCAUGGGAGUGGGUUUUACCAGAAGUAGUUAGCCUAACCGUAAGGAGGGCGAUUACCACGGUAGGAUUCAUGACUGGGGUGAAGUCGUAACAAGGUAA
This 1465-nucleotide ribosomal RNA is filed under the name uncultured Bordetella sp. RNAcentral describes it as "partial 16S-23S ribosomal RNA intergenic spacer". It matches the Rfam family "Bacterial small subunit ribosomal RNA". The record is from RNAcentral. Lineage: Bacteria; Pseudomonadati; Pseudomonadota; Betaproteobacteria; Burkholderiales; Alcaligenaceae.